Molecule: ribosomal RNA, 253 nt
Filed under: uncultured bacterium
Lineage: Bacteria
Description: partial 16S ribosomal RNA
Rfam family: Bacterial small subunit ribosomal RNA
Source: RNAcentral
GACGAACCGUGCGAACGUUGUUCGGAAUUACUGGGCGUAAAGAGCGUGUAGGCGGUCCGGUAAGUCCGUUGUGAAAGUCAGGGGCUCAACCCUUGAAUGCCGGCGGAUACUGUCGGGCUAGAGUCCGGAAGAGGCGAGUGGAAUUCCCGGUGUAGCGGUGAAAUGCGCAGAUAUCGGGAGGAACACCUAUGGCGAAGGCAGCUCGCUGGGACGGCACUGACGCUGAGACGCGAAAGCGUGGGGAGCAAACAGG